RNAcentral lists this ribosomal RNA (574 nucleotides) under Omphalius rusticus. Its description in RNAcentral is "partial 16S ribosomal RNA". It matches the Rfam family "Bacterial large subunit ribosomal RNA", at positions 1809 to 2607 of the family's 2925-position model. Lineage: Eukaryota; Metazoa; Mollusca; Gastropoda; Trochida; Tegulidae. The record is from RNAcentral.
AAAAACAUCGCUCUUUGGUAUAUAGUUAUUGAGAAUAUAAAGAGUCGGGCCUGCCCAGUGACAUUAUAUGUUAAACGGCCGCGGUACCCUGACCGUGCAAAGGUAGCAUAAUCACUUGCCUUUUGAUUGAGGGCUGGUAUGAAUGGCUUGACGAGAGCUGGACUGUCUCUUUUUAAAUUUAUAAAAAUUAACUUUUAGGUGAAGAGGCCUAAAUUCAACUGAGUGACGAAAAGACCCUAUUGAGCUUUAGUUAAUUAACAAAAUUUUUAAUGUUUUGUUUUUCUAAGCACUUGGAUUUGCAUGUGUGUUUUGUUAAGAAUCUUUAGUUGGGGUGACUUAGGAGUAAAAAAAACUUCCUUUAACUAUUUAAAUAUGUAAGGUAUUCAUACUGAUUUUAUAGAUCCAGUAUUUACUGAUCAAAGGAAAAAGUUACCAUAGGGAUAACAGCGUUAUCUUUCUGGAGAGUUCUUAUUGAAGGAAAGGUUUACGACCUCGAUGUUGGACUAGGAUAUCCUAGAGGUGCAGAAGCUUCUGAUGGUUAGUCUGUUCGACUAUUAAAAUCCUACGUGAUCUG